UCAUAGGAUCGACGCAGAUUUAUUAUUAACAAUAGAACAAAAAGUUGUACGAUCAGAUGGUUAGUUGGAGUGCUUUCGACUAGUGAUGAUACCGAACGACACUUUUUUUUUGAAAUAGAAUAUGCCUCCAGACGGCGGUUGGGGAUGGGUCAUUGUUUUGGCAAUGUCAAUAAAUAACCUCUUGACAAUACCCAUGAUGCAAAUAUUUGGAUUUGUUUUUGGUGAUAAAUUACACGACAUUGGUUUAUCUGCCAUUAAUAUAUCCGUCAUCACCAACACAAGUCAGGCGUUUGGCCUACUUCUGGGUUUUAUUAACGGAGCCUUACUUAAAAAGCUAGGCUAUAGGAAAGUUGCUUUCGCAUCUGCUUUCUUUAUAUUUAUAGGAUUUUUCACAACUGCCUUUGCAAACAGCUUCACAACGUUCCUUAUUACUUAUGGAUUAAUUUAUUCUACUGGAACUGGAAUGGCUAAAUCGGCCUAUUUUGUGGCACUUAAUACUUUCUUUUUAAAGCAACGUAGUAAAGCUUUGGCCUUAUCAUUUACCAUUUCCUCGUUAGGGCCAAUAUUACUUCCACAACUUGUACCCUACUUAUUAUACAGUUAUGGUUUAAAAGGGACUGCAUUGAUUCUGGCAGCAAUUCUUAGUCAUACAUUCGUGGCAGCGUUACUUUUACAGCCAAUUGAAAAACAUGAAAAAAUGGACCCAGAAGAUGAUACUGUAAACGCAUACCACAAGGAAAUUAUAACAAAGUCAUCUGAUGUCACAGAUAUAAAACCAUCGUUUUAUGAUUUCGGUAGUACAGAUGAUUUGGAUAUUAUAAACAGAAGUACUUUAUCUUUAUAUACCGAAAGAAGACCAACGAAAAGAAGAUUUUCGAACAAAAUGUACACUUCAUUAAUAUCUUUUUCUGAAGACACCCCGGAUAAACCUGUCUCAGUUGAUAAUAAUAUAAUUAAAUUGGGAAUUGAAGAUGAUUUGAAUGCGAAGGAAAACCACCUAAUAAACCGAAAGAAAAUUUUCGAAUUUUUUAAAAGCGCUUCCAAGCUAUUCGAAUUAUCAUUAAUCGUUGAUCCGAUUUUUAUUAACAUCAUAAUAGGAAUUUCGUUGGCAAUGUUUGUGGAUUUAAAUUUUGCCAUAUUAACUGCUUUGAUGUUAACUGACUUCGGACUAGAGAAAAAUCAGAUAGCCACGUUUAUGUCUGUUCAGUCAUCUGCAGAGCUGAUUUUUAGAUUCGCUGCGCCCUACGUUGGAUGCUGUUUAAGCGAUUCUCCUAGAAUAUUGUAUAUGAUUUGUCUAAUCUUCUUAUCCAUAAGCAGAUUUUGUAGUAUUCGUAUGGGUGCAGGGAUUUACACUUUUGCUUGUAUCUGCUGUUUGUAUGGGAAUAUUUAGAGGAUUAAGAACAAUCUACAUGAAUCUUGUAAUUCCAUCGUAUGUUCCUCUCGAAAAAUUACCUGGCGCAUCAGGAAUUCAACUGUUUUUAAAUGGAAUAAUGUUUCUAGUUGGCGGUCCCAUUUUAGGAUUUGUAAAGGACGUUACUGGUUCGUACAGAGGAUGUGUUAUUUUGAUGAACUGUCUAAUGCUUCUCGGUGUUUUUAUGUGGGCCAUAGAAAUGAUGAUUGUUAAAAACAAAAAGAAGACAGUGGAUCAAACAUAAAGUUGUUCAUUUGUUUCGAAAUAGGAAAACAGAAUUUGAUGCAAAUAAGACACAGAAAUUAUAUGUACAAUAAUAGAUACGCGCUUCUGCAACAUCUGUGAUAAUUGAGAUAAUAAAAUAAAUAUAAUUUCUAUAAUGUAUUUUUAA
RNAcentral lists this unclassified non-coding RNA (1802 nucleotides) under Agrilus planipennis (emerald ash borer). Its description in RNAcentral is "monocarboxylate transporter 9-like, transcript variant X2". The record is from RNAcentral. Lineage: Eukaryota; Metazoa; Arthropoda; Insecta; Coleoptera; Buprestidae.